AUUGAACGCUAGCGGGAUGCCUUACACAUGCAAGUCGAACGAGUGGCCAACGGGUGAGUAAUGCUUGGGAAUCUAGCUUAUGGAUGGGGAUAACUACGGGAAAGUGGAGCUAAUACCGCGUACCACAGGAUGAGACUAAGUGGGAUAAGGUAGUUGGUGAAGCAAAGGCUCAACAAGCCGACGAACUCUAGCUGGGCUGAGAGGAUGACCAGCCACACUGGGACUGAGACACGGCCCAGACUCCUACGGGAGGCAGCAGUGGGGAAUAUUGCGCAAUGGGGGCAACCUGACGCAGCAACGCCGGGUGAAUGAAGAAGGCCUUAGGGUUGUAAAGUUCUGUCGGUAGCGAGGCGUUAACUACAGAAGAAGCACCGGCUAACUCCGUGCCAGCAGCCGCGGUAAUAC
Molecule: ribosomal RNA, 405 nt
Filed under: uncultured bacterium
Lineage: Bacteria
Description: partial 16S ribosomal RNA
Rfam family: Bacterial small subunit ribosomal RNA
Source: RNAcentral